AGUGAACGCUGGCGGUAGGCCUAACACAUGCAAGUCGAACGGCAGCACAGUAAGAGCUUGCUCUUACGGGUGGCGAGUGGCGGACGGGUGAGGAAUACAUCGGAAUCUACCUUUUCGUGGGGGAUAACGUAGGGAAACUUACGCUAAUACCGCAUACGACCUACGGGUGAAAGCAGGGGAUCUUCGGACCUUGCGCGAUUGAAUGAGCCGAUGUCGGAUUAGCUAGUUGGCGGGGUAAAGGCCCACCAAGGCGACGAUCCGUAGCUGGUCUGAGAGGAUGAUCAGCCACACUGGAACUGAGACACGGUCCAGACUCCUACGGGAGGCAGCAGUGGGGAAUAUUGGACAAUGGGCGCAAGCCUGAUCCAGCCAUACCGCGUGGGUGAAGAAGGCCUUCGGGUAGUAAAGCCCUUUUGUUGGGAAAGAAAAGCAGCAGGUUAAUACCCCGCUGUUCUGACGGUACCCAAAGAAUAAGCACCGGCUAACUUCGUG
This 492-nucleotide ribosomal RNA is filed under the name uncultured bacterium. RNAcentral's name for it is "partial 16S ribosomal RNA". It matches the Rfam family "Bacterial small subunit ribosomal RNA", at positions 29 to 507 of the family's 1533-position model. The record is from RNAcentral.